AACGAACGCUGGCGGCAUGCCUAACACAUGCAAGUCGAACGAGACCUUCGGGUCUAGUGGCGCACGGGUGCGUAACGCGUGGGAACCUGCCCUUAGGUUCGGAAUAACUCCCCGAAAGGGGUGCUAAUACCGGAUAAUGUCUUCGGACCAAAGAUUUAUCGCCUUUGGAUGGGCCCGCGUUGGAUUAGCUAGUUGGUAGGGUAAAAGCCUACCAAGGCGACGAUCCAUAGCUGGUCUGAGAGGAUGAUCAGCCACACUGGGACUGAGACACGGCCCAGACUCCUACGGGAGGCAGCAGUGGGGAAUAUUGGACAAGGGGCGAAAGCCUGAUCCAGCAAUGCCGCGUGAGUGAUGAAGGCCUUAGGGUUGUAAAGCUCUUUUACCCGGGAUGAUAAGGACAGUACCGGGAGAAUAAGCUCCGGCUAACCCCGUG
RNAcentral lists this ribosomal RNA (433 nucleotides) under uncultured bacterium. RNAcentral describes it as "partial 16S ribosomal RNA". It matches the Rfam family "Bacterial small subunit ribosomal RNA", at positions 29 to 507 of the family's 1533-position model. The record is from RNAcentral.